AUGACCUAUGAAUUGACAGA
This 20-nucleotide microRNA is filed under the name Cervus elaphus (red deer). RNAcentral's name for it is "cel-miR-215". Lineage: Eukaryota; Metazoa; Chordata; Mammalia; Artiodactyla; Cervidae. The record is from RNAcentral.